AUGGGUAGCGGCAGCAGCAGAGGGAAAAAAAUCGCACCCGAAUUGGUGAGAGAGGCAAAGGCUUACCGAGCGGAGAAAAAAGACGGCAACGAACGAGACCCUAAAGACGACAGUCGCUUAUUCACAAGCUACAAGGUCCCGAAUAUUUCCGACUUCAGCCAGUCAGGCAACAGGCUCCGACCGCACUGCCACAGCGAAGGAAACGAUUCCGACGUUUCCGCGGACGACGAUGAAGACGACAUCGACAGGGAGCUGGACCGGGUGCUGGCGGAGUGCGACGGUCGCCGUUUCUACUCCCACAGGACGCCUCCGAAGAAGUCGCUUGGCCGAUCUCACACGUACAGCUUCUGUAAUGCGAGACAGGUGCACCCGAGGAACGAGUUCAGCUCCACGCCGCGCACGCAGAGUGUGGAGCAGCUGAAAGUGGGGAAACAGCCUCCCCAGGGACCCGACACCGGGAAGAGGGGGGACGUCACGCUCGGUUUUCCUCGGGAGAAAAGCCUUUUCGCUCCUGACUCGGGCGCCGUGAGCUCUCGGUUAAAUGACACGUUGGUUCACAGAAUCGAGGGCACUACACACAGCGAACCCACAGACGCCGCCCGUAGCUCUCCAACCCCUUCCAUUAUCCGGUACGAUGGCUCGGAGGAGGAGCUCAUGGCCACUAUCGAGCGAGAAUACAGCUGAUGUCCGGGGAGGAGGGGUUUCAGUGGAAACGAGGGCUCUGGAUCACACAGCCUGCGUCGACAGAGGGCUCCCCAGCACCUCCUGAUGGGCAGCUCCCGCUUUCUUUUUGACACGCCAGUCCAAAAAACAGCGUUGCUUCUGUUAUUUGUACUAUAUCUGUAUGUAGAAACGUUUGUAAAAAUGAGGGCUAAAAAUACGUCACUUUUACAGUCAUUGUAAAUGACUAUAAUAUCAACAUUAUUUAUAUAGCGACUUCUGUAGCCACGAUUUCCUACACAAAACAAAAGUAUUCAGAACGCAAUGUUUUCUGUUCAGAAAUGCGUUAAGACAAAGCUCUUGUGGUGCUGCAGCACAGACCGAUUAAUUAUCUUCAAAUCUUCAUUUUCUUAUUUUGUAAUAUUUGUGUGCCUUGUGCUCCCAUUACUCUUUAUUUAACACACAACUGAAGGUGUGCUACGCCUGCUGACUCCAUCCUUCACCAGUGCUGGUUUCUCGCACUCCGGACACCGGAAAGGCUUGUGGCCGCGAAGACUGGGAGAUCCUGAUUGUUUCAGAAAAUUUGGGGAGCCUUUGUUUCAAUGCUCUGUUGCUGGAUUAUAGCAAGCUCUUGAAUGCAAAGGUUUUAUUUUCCUAAAACUGAUUUUUUUCUGUAAUGUUAAAACUUUUCAUUAACAUUUUUAAAAAGAAGCAAUUCCAGACACUGUUAAUUUAGUAGAGAAUUGCCUGUUUUUGCCAGAAGCUGGUACCAAAUAUGCGAAGUUGUUGAUACUUUUUGUGACAUUCACUGUUUUGGACAAGUGUUUUGUUAAAAUAAAAAUGAUUUUUAUAUAUUAUUAGGUCCUGGUCCCUUGUGGUGUGUCAAGCAGCUGGAAUUGCUGUGAGAUCGCUUAUAUUGCACUGCGACUUUGUUCCAAUCAGCAAUGUGGUUCAAUAUGCGUGAACGUGUAGCGGAGGUACAGACACGUUUCUGGUUGUCUUGUUUCUCUCCGAUGCAAAGGUAAUGGGUAGGUGUGAGUAGCAAAUUUCCAUUUGCCCAUUAAAAAAAAAUCUUUACAUUUUCAUUUUUUUGACAAUCUUAUCAUUUCUUACUUUUUAAUAUCAGACAAAAUGAGGAAAAUGUUGCUUUCAAUAUAGAGCAAAACAAGAAAAAAAGUAUCGAUAUUGACACACGCAUCUAUAUAUUCGGCAGACGUACACUAUUGGAAAUAACUGUGGAAGCAAGGGUCUAAGUGGGUAGUUAAUGUAAACUAGAAAUAAUUGCCAGGAGCCAGUUUCCAUAACUAGCGCGCAGAUGUUUCAUUGAAUACGUUCACGGGAAGGCUGAAGUACUUUUUUAUGACUUUUUAACUCAGUCCGCGCAAACACCAGCUCUUUGCCUACUGACGGAGUAGUCCGCCUGUGGGCAAACUACGGGCCGCGGGCCGCAAGCCAGUUUUAACCGGCCCUUGGGGGUAAAAAAUAAACGAGUCGAUAUUCGCCAUACUCCAACUCGUUUGGUGCCGUUUUUUUCUUACAUUUCGUGAUUCUUGUCGUUAGAUGGCGCACGGACGCCAUUACCACAGCGGUGCCAAACUGUGCAUCGCGCCACCUAGGGGAGGCGCCAUUGUCGGUCAGGGGCGUCUCAGGUAUCGCCGAAGAAACAUUUUUAUUACGAGUAAAACCAGCGUGUUUUUGCACACAGAAUGUACGAGUCGUGUGCUACCUAGCUAGACUGUUUCACAUGACACUAGGCAAGAGAGUCGGCAGUCUGUAAACAGCCUACCAGUUGACCGCGGCUUCGCUGUUGCAUGUUUCUAUGAGUGGUCCUUUUGUGAGUGUUUUGUUACACGAUCGCAAUGGAGAGGUUUUUAAAUAUGAGUAAAAAACAACGUGGAGGACACGGAGCCUAGAGAAACGGACACGCAAAUACGGAAAAGUAUGACGACAAUAAAUUGACAGUAUGCUUCCCAGUAAAUUGAAACAUUUGGGAGCUGUUCACAGUAGUUUAAAAAGUUAAAUGAAUGAACAGAAACGGCUUUUUCUAACCAAGCUACAGUUCCCAGGAAAGUUCUUCUUCCAUCAUACAAAGUAGGGUACCGAGUAGCAAAAUGCAGAAAACAUUCAUGUUAAAGUUCUACUUUUUCGAAGUCAUUUUAUUUGCAUUUUACAAAGAUGUUGACUAUUUUUCAAAUUCUUUUCACAUUCAAAUAAUUUCAAUAAAAUGUUUUGUCAAGUAUUUUUACUAUUUCGAUCCAGCCUUUACAAGUAUUUUAAUUUUGAACAUGAUUACAAAUAAUUAAAAUUGGAUCAACUUUGUUUUUAUGUUGACCCAUGAUUUUGAAGGUGUAUGACAGAGCUUUUGAAGGAGUGCGUGAUAGAAACCGCAGAUAUUCUUUGUCCUGAUAGCAAGAGCAAAUUUGAGAAAAUAAGUGUAUCACGCAGAACAGUUACCCACCGGGUCGGGGUAAUCGGUGAGGACUUGGCUUGUGAGUUGAACGUCAAGUUUUAUUCAGUUUUUAUUUUUUUUCUAUUUAUUUUUCUCUCAGGUUAUCGUUAACCGUGAACUAAUGAGCCUAUGUUGGAUUUUAAACUUAUAUAGGGCAUCGGCUAUCUGUAACAGCAGCCUGAAAUGGCCCGGUAUACAGUUUCAAAAUGUUAUGUGACAAAAAAGUUUGCCCACCCCCGCAAUAGUCUUAUCUAGAGCAGCGACACAAGCGGUCCUCGAUUCUAACCCCCUGCCUCACGCCAGCCAAUCAAACUACAAACCCCGUUUCAGUUCCUUCCGUACCAGCCAAUCGGCUCCCUGCCAGCUGGGGCGAAGACCCGCCUCCAGCCGCAUCCAAGUCAGCCCGAGUCGAAGGGAUCAGCAGCUGCGCCGAAGCUCCUUCCCUCUUUCUCCGGCGCUGCCCGGCUCAGGCACAGCCGGGGCUCGCUGUCUGGCUGCUCUUGAAGAAACGCCUUGUUCAGCAGGUGCUGAAACGCCUCCCCUUUGCGUCGUCGUCGUCGCCUAUCACGCAGGCCACUGACGCUGACCCUGCAGGGUCUGGGGUUUUGUCAAUUCAAUUCAGUUCAAUUCAAGGGGCUUUAUUAGCAUGACCGAUGGGUACAAUCAGUGUUGCCAAAGCAAAUAAAAAUAAUAAAAUUAACAUGGAACAAAACAUAAAAAUAGAAGUAAAAUAAAAUCUACAGACAUAUUACAGACAUUUACAACAAAGACAUAUUAUAAAAUAUUGACAUAUACUGUAAACAGAUGGAGCAUUAUUGGGAGACAGACUCACUGUUCCUCAGGCUGUGACAGGAGAUCACAUACUGGGCUCCCAGUAGGAUUGGGACCCGUUGUGACUCUGGCAG
Molecule: long non-coding RNA, 4014 nt
Filed under: Lepisosteus oculatus (spotted gar)
Lineage: Eukaryota; Metazoa; Chordata; Actinopteri; Semionotiformes; Lepisosteidae
Description: lncRNA (ENSLOCG00000022838.1)
Source: RNAcentral